CGUCUAUAUACGUAUAGCAUAUCAAUAAGCGGAGGAAAAGAAACUAACAAGGAUUCCCUUAGUAACGGCGAGUGAAGCGGGAAGAGCUCAAAUUUGAAAUCUUCAAGGUUCUACCUUGACGAAUUGUAGUUUAAAGAAGUGUUUUCUGUUAGAGGAGUAGGCAAAAGUUCCUUUGGAAUAGGGACAUCAUAGAGGGUGAGAAUCCCGUAUUUGGUCAUUCUUUCUAGCUGUGUGAUACACUUUCAAAGAGUCGGAUUGUUUGGGAAUGCAGUCCAAAAUGGGUGGUAAAUUUCAUCUAAAGCUAAAUAUUGGCGAGAGACCGAUAGCGAACAAGUACCGUGAGGGAAAGAUGAAAAGAACUUUGAAAAGAGAGUUAAACAGUACGUGAAAUUGUCAAAAGGGAAGCGUUUGACACCAGUGUUGUUUUUCCGAAAAUCAAUUAAGAACGGCUUGAUUUUGUGUUGUAUUGACCUUAUCAGCUUUCUUCACUCUUUUUCGAGUCUUUCUUAAUGCACUUUUCGGUUAACAAGUCAACAUCAAUUUCUUUUGUUGUAAAAGGGUAUUUGGAAGGUAGCUUUCUUUUCGGAGAAAGUGUUUAUAGCCUUAUACCUCUACAAUCGGAGAGAUUGAGGUCUGCAGCGUAGAUCCUUCGGGGCUAGAUACACUUGUGCUAAGUUAUAGCUUUUCAUAGACAACUUGUUGACUAUGUUUAGUCAUGUAGCUUACCCGCUUAUGCUAUUUUACCUACGCUUAGGAUGUUGAGUCAUCACACAUCUCU
RNAcentral lists this ribosomal RNA (778 nucleotides) under uncultured Neocallimastigales. RNAcentral describes it as "partial large subunit ribosomal RNA". It matches the Rfam family "Eukaryotic large subunit ribosomal RNA", at positions 26 to 618 of the family's 3401-position model. Lineage: Eukaryota; Fungi; Neocallimastigomycota; Neocallimastigomycetes; Neocallimastigales. The record is from RNAcentral.